CGAACGGGUGAGUAACACGUGAGUAACCUGCCCUUGACUCUGGGAUAAGCCUGGGAAACUGGGUCUAAUACCGGAUAUGACCGUCUGACGCAUGUCAGGUGGUGGAAAGCUUUUGUGGUUUUGGAUGGACUCGCGGCCUAUCAGCUUGUUGGUGGGGUAAUGGCCUACCAAGGCGACGACGGGUAGCCGGCCUGAGAGGGUGACCGGCCACACUGGGACUGAGACACGGCCCAGACUCCUACGGGAGGCAGCAGUGGGGAAUAUUGCACAAUGGGCGCAAGCCUGAUGCAGCGACGCCGCGUGAGGGAUGACGGCCUUCGGGUUGUAAACCUCUUUCAGUAGGGAAGAAGCGAAAGUGACGGUACCUGCAGAAGAAGCGCCGGCUAACUACGUGCCAGCAGCCGCGGUAAUACGUAGGGCGCAAGCGUUAUCCGGAAUUAUUGGGCGUAAAGAGCUCGUAGGCGGUUUGUCGCGUCUGCUGUGAAAGACCGGGGCUCAACUCCGGUUCUGCAGUGGGUACGGGCAGACUAGAGUGCAGUAGGGGAGACUGGAAUUCCUGGUGUAGCGGUGAAAUGCGCAGAUAUCAGGAGGAACACCGAUGGCGAAGGCAGGUCUCUGGGCUGUAACUGACGCUGAGGAGCGAAAGCAUGGGGAGCGAACAGGAUUAGAUACCCUGGUAGUCCAUGCCGUAAACGUUGGGCACUAGGUGUGGGGGACAUUCCACGUUUUCCGCGCCGUAGCUAACGCAUUAAGUGCCCCGCCUGGGGAGUACGGCCGCAAGGCUAAAACUCAAAGGAAUUGACGGGGGCCCGCACAAGCGGCGGAGCAUGCGGAUUAAUUCGAUGCAACGCGAAGAACCUUACCAAGGCUUGACAUGAACCGGUAAUACCUGGAAACAGGUGCCCCGCUUGCGGUCGGUUUACAGGUGGUGCAUGGUUGUCGUCAGCUCGUGUCGUGAGAUGUUGGGUUAAGUCCCGCAACGAGCGCAACCCUCGUUCUAUGUUGCCAGCGCGUUAUGGCGGGGACUCAUAGGAGACUGCCGGGGUCAACUCGGAGGAAGGUGGGGACGACGUCAAAUCAUCAUGCCCCUUAUGUCUUGGGCUUCACGCAUGCUACAAUGGCCGGUACAAAGGGUUGCGAUACUGUGAGGUGGAGCUAAUCCCAAAAAGCCGGUCUCAGUUCGGAUUGGGGUCUGCAACUCGACCCCAUGAAGUCGGAGUCGCUAGUAAUCGCAGAUCAGCAACGCUGCGGUGAAUACGUUCCCGGGCCUUGUACACACCGCCCGUC
This 1287-nucleotide ribosomal RNA is filed under the name Paenarthrobacter sp. RNAcentral describes it as "bacterial SSU rRNA". It matches the Rfam family "Bacterial small subunit ribosomal RNA", at positions 99 to 1398 of the family's 1533-position model. Lineage: Bacteria; Bacillati; Actinomycetota; Actinomycetes; Micrococcales; Micrococcaceae. The record is from RNAcentral.